ACCAAAUUAUAAAAUGUCACCUGGUGUAAAAGGGUUCAAAAACAUGCACAUACAUGAUGCUACAAAGAAUAGAAGUAUUGUUCCUGAAAACAAGGGCCAUGAUGGUGCUGACAGGAAGUUUGAUGUGCAUUGCUUUUGCAUUUGUAGUUGUGUUUGUUCUUUAAAUGCUGACAUAAUGAUAUGGAAGAAACAUGUUAUAUUGUGAAUUAUAUUUUAUUUUCUGAUCUUUUGUUUAGGAAACUCUUAGGGUUUGUAUUAGACUCCUAUUUUAAUUAAAAUUGGUCUGGUAAAAUCCGACUUUAGGGAUAUAUGGUCAGGCAAGUCAUCAAGUCAUUAAGAUUUGAUUUAUUAUUACUAUUAUUAUUAUUAUUUUAGCUGUUUUCUAUGUAAGAUUCUGUGGACUUCUGGAUUUUGCAUUUCAAGAAAUAUUUUAGGCAUCCAUAUGGAUAGAUUACUUGGUUGUGCAG
RNAcentral lists this long non-coding RNA (467 nucleotides) under Elaeis guineensis (African oil palm). RNAcentral's name for it is "long non-coding RNA (EGUI_LNC071127)". The record is from RNAcentral. Lineage: Eukaryota; Viridiplantae; Streptophyta; Magnoliopsida; Arecales; Arecaceae.